AAGAUGUGGAAAAAUUGGAAUC
RNAcentral lists this microRNA (22 nucleotides) under Macaca mulatta (Rhesus monkey). RNAcentral describes it as "mml-miR-576-3p". Its record names the gene mml-miR-576-3p. Lineage: Eukaryota; Metazoa; Chordata; Mammalia; Primates; Cercopithecidae. The record is from miRBase by way of RNAcentral. RNAcentral also lists the same sequence under 3 other names.